CCUACGGUGGGCAGCAGUGGGGAAUAUUGGACAAUGGGGGGAACCCUGAUCCAGCGACGCCGCGUGAGUGAAGAAGUAUUUCGGUAUGUAAAGCUCUAUCAGCAGGGAAGAAAGGAAUGACGGUACCUGACUAAGAAGCCCCGGCUAACUACGGGCCAGCAGCCGCGGUAAUACGUAGGGGGCAAGCGUGAACCGGAUUUACUGGGUGUAAAGGGAGCGUAGACGGUUACGCAAGUCUGGAGGGAAAGGCGGGGGCCCAACCCCCGGACUGCUUUGGAAACUGUAUAACUGGAGUGCAGGAGAGGUAAGUGGAAUUCCUAGUGUAGCGGUGAAAUGCGUAGAUAUUAGGAGGAACACCAGUGGCGAAGGCGGCUUCCUGGACUGUAACUGACGUUGAGGCUCGAAAGCGUGGGGAGCAAACAGGAUUAGAUACCCUUGUAGUC
Molecule: ribosomal RNA, 443 nt
Filed under: uncultured bacterium
Lineage: Bacteria
Description: partial 16S ribosomal RNA
Rfam family: Bacterial small subunit ribosomal RNA
Source: RNAcentral